This 252-nucleotide ribosomal RNA is filed under the name uncultured bacterium. RNAcentral describes it as "partial 16S ribosomal RNA". It matches the Rfam family "Bacterial small subunit ribosomal RNA", at positions 524 to 776 of the family's 1533-position model. The record is from RNAcentral.
UACGAAGGGGCUAGCGUUGCUCGGAAUCACUGGGCGUAAAGCGCACGUAGGCGGAUCGUUAAGUCAGGGGUGAAAUCCUGGAGCUCAACUCCAGAACUGCCCUUGAUACUGGCGACCUUGAGUUCGGGAGAGGUGAGUGGAACUGCGAGUGUAGAGGUGAAAUUCGUAGAUAUUCGCAAGAACACCAGUGGCGAAGGCGGCUCACUGGCCCGAUACUGACGCUGAGGUGCGAAAGCGUGGGGAGCAAACAGG